Molecule: long non-coding RNA, 524 nt
Filed under: Brassica napus (rape)
Lineage: Eukaryota; Viridiplantae; Streptophyta; Magnoliopsida; Brassicales; Brassicaceae
Description: long non-coding RNA (BNAP_LNC018055)
Source: RNAcentral
UUACAGUUAAUCUAAAAUCAUUUAAAAAUUCAUUAAAACUUAAAUCAUUUAAAAUUUUAAAUAGGGUACGUCCAUUAAUUCUCUUUUUAUUCUUUUCACAUUUUGAAGUAAAUUAGUCAAUGUUGUUUUCUAGAAAAGCACCUGAAAAUAAAUAUAACCUAAAAGCAAAAAAAACGAUGGUUCUAUAUAACAAUCUAACAUUUGCUUUUGUCAAAGUGCAUCUCUGUUAUUGUUAUUAAAAGAGAAAUAUCCUUUAAAAAAUAUCCCUAAGUUUUCUAACUUAUUUACAUUUUCAUGCCAUCGAAAAUUAAAUUAAACGACCUAUUUUAAUACUUGUCUUUUCUAGUUAAAUUAAUGAGUUUUCCUUAAUCAAAUUUAAAUUUAAUGUCAUUAAAUAAACCUACAUAUUUUAAUGCUUGUCUUUUCCCGUUAAAUUAAUGAGUUUUCCUUAAUCAAAUUUAAACUUAAUGUCAUUAAAUAAAUCUAAAAAUACAUCAUAUUUAACGUAGCUUAUUACGUACGAG